AAACAACACCUCACAAAAAAAGCGAAAGUAAAAGAAGAAAUAGAGACGCCAUUUCGUGGCUCUGAACCUGUUAACACUGGGUAAAUAAAAUACUUCUUAUUUUACUGGAUUUUUCACAGAUUACUCCAUCAGCUUUCCACAAUAUCAGCCCUUCCAAAAGCUUCCACAUCUCUCCCUCUCUCGUGUGCAGAUCUGCUCUCAGUCCUUUACUGCAAACUUCCAAUAUUAGCAUGUAUACUUGUAUUAAUUCCUCCUGUACAGUUAACACUCCCGUCUCUACUGUGAGCACUGCACUCCUGUCACCUGAACCCGGCGAACCGAGCUGUGACCGAGCCUCGCUGGUGACGUCACUGCCGCUGAUGCUGCGUGGUAUUUGGACGCAUCUGCUCUCCACUGAAGUUAAUGGGGAGGAUUGGCAUGUCAUAUGCACGCAAAAGUGGACUUUGGCGUAUGUAUUACACGCAAUUUGAAAGUGUAAACUCAUGUUAUUUAUACGCAGAUUGAUGAGACCGGGUUGGCAUAUCAGCUUCAUUAGGGUCACCACAAAAAGAACAGCUUGUAUCUAUAUCUGAUUUGAACCUUUUCAAAAACAUUUUAUUUGGGUCAAAUCUGUGUAACAAUUUGAAUGAGAUGUCUUUAACCUUAUUAGUUAUUAUGUAUUUCGAAGACAGAGUCCAGACUUUUUUUCCAAUCAAUAUGAUCAACAACAUUCUUCCAAUAAGAUACCACAUAUGGAGUUAUUACAAGCUCCUUUUGAAAAAGCGAUGUAAUAUUAUAGUUACGUGAUGAAGGAUAUUGUCACGUGUGGUGUCUUCACGGCGCGAGGAGACAAAGGAGAUAAAACUUAAUUCUCUUUAAUGAGGAAUAAGCGUUCAGGAAUAACGGAAAUAACAUUAAAUGACGAUAUUACACUUCAACUUGACAUAACAUAACUUUAAGACUCGACAAAGGAGAAAACCAAACUGAAUGCUUAUAAAGGGAACAGGAACAAAAGAGCAAACAACAUAAUCAAAAUCAGGUGGGGACAAUCAAACGAUAAUGAACUAAUGAGGACAGGAACUAAACCAAAUAAGGGAAACGAGGGGGGGUGGGCGCCCUGGAUGCCGGAGCAGGACGGAGACCAAGACACAGAGGAGGCAUCCAGGGUGGGUCAGGGGAUUCCGGCGGCCUUGGCGGAGUAGCCAUAGUGGCCCUGGCUAAAGUCCGGAACAAGGCCACUAUGGCUAACAGGAGGACGGGUAUAUAGCCCCCCCCCAAAAUUUUGUUGAGAAAGUUAGGGGACAUUAGUCUUUGUUUGGAUUCUCGAGGGCGCUCGGACAGCGCGGACUCUUGGGGGCGCCUUCGUGGCGCAGGCACUGGGGUGCGCUCUUGCAGCACGGGCUCUGGGCGGCGCUCUUGCAGCGCGGAUUUUAGGGGGCGCUCUUGCAGCGCUGAGACAGGGAGGCGCCUUCGUGGCGCAGGCACUGGGGUGCGCUCUUGCAGCGUGGAGACAGGGAGGCGCCUUCUUGGCGCAGGUACUGGGGUGCGCUCUUGCAGCGUGGAGACAGAGAGGCGCCUUCUUGGCGCAGGCACAGGGGUGCGCUCUGGCAACGCGGAUUCUAAG
Molecule: long non-coding RNA, 1603 nt
Organism: Onychostoma macrolepis
Lineage: Eukaryota; Metazoa; Chordata; Actinopteri; Cypriniformes; Cyprinidae
Exons: 3
Source: RefSeq, a predicted model, not a curated record